UACGGGGGGGGCAAGCGUUGUUCGGAAUUACUGGGCGUAAAGGGCUCGUAGGCGGCCAACUAAGUCAUACGUGAAAUCCCCAGGCUCAACCUGGGAACUGCGUCUGAUACUGGUUGGCUUGAGGUUGGGAGAGGGAUGCGGAAUUCCAGGUGUAGCGGUGAAAUGCGUAGAUAUCUGGAGGAACACCGGUGGCGAAGGCGGCAUCCUGGACCAAUUCUGACACUGAGGAGCGAAAGCCAGGGGAGCAAACGGG
RNAcentral lists this ribosomal RNA (253 nucleotides) under uncultured bacterium. Its description in RNAcentral is "partial 16S ribosomal RNA". It matches the Rfam family "Bacterial small subunit ribosomal RNA", at positions 524 to 776 of the family's 1533-position model. The record is from RNAcentral.